GAAGCCCUCAUUGUUCCUAUACCCCUUCCCACCCCAACUCAUCUGAUUCGAUUGCUAAUGUCUGAAAUUUUAUCCUCUGAAUUUGAUUCCUUUGAUAUUGAAGUGCAGACACUCCUGGGAAGAAUGAGUCACUCACACUUUAUUGUGAAUGAGGCUCAGGGGCUGGGUUAUGAAAAGGGAGAUGGAAUUAAAACCAAGAGAGCUCCGGCGACUGGUGCAGCUGUUCUUGCCACAGAAAGACUGCCAAGUGCGUAGGCGGCUUUGCUCCUCGCUAGCUCUGCAAACUGGAGUCACUUGAUCUCCUUAACCUCGGUGAUCACAGAUGAGAUAUGGAGUAAUAAUGCUUCCUGCUUUACCUGAUAGCAUUAUGUGGAGGCUCAAAUGAGAGUAAAUGGGUCACAAAAAAUUUGCAAACUGUGAAGUGCCAUGCAAAGUAAAGACAUUAAAGGGCAGGACCCAAGGGGAAAAGAAAUGUGGCCAAGGCAUCAUCUACCCACGUCACAACUCAGGUGGAUCCUGGUGCUACUUCAUAAUCACACUCAGAAUUCUGACGAUUAAGAUGACCAGGAUUCAUGUGUUGCCUUCUGGAUAUCAUCGUGCUAAACAGGUCCAGCUUACAAAAGAAACGAGUGAAAGAAUAAGACAUAGAAAGUUAUAGAAGGCUUCAGAACGUGCACAAUCAAGAUGAAUAUAUUCCUGGUCCAGGAGCUCAGAAAAAGGCAUCAUCUUAAAUGUAUUUCUUAUUAUUGGCUCAGAAUUUUUGUGUCCUGGAAGUAGUACGUAUGCAUGAGACACACACGAUGGAGGCGGCUUUGUGGUUUCACAGAUUUAUUUUUUAUUUUUUUAUUAAGAUUUUAUUAUUUUUUUCCUUUUUCUCCCCAAAGCCCCCAGUACAUAGUUGUAUAUUCUUUGUUGUGGGUCCUUCUAGUUGUGGCAUGUGGGACACCGCCCCAGCAUGGCUCAAUGAGUGGUGCCAUGUCCGCACCCAGGAUUCGAACCGAUGAAGCACUGGGCCGCCUGCAGUGGAGCACGUGAACUUAACCUCUCGGCCAUGGGGCCAGCCCCCACAAUUUGGAUUUUAAUGAAAUAAAAAAUGUCUGACGUGCUUGACUGUAUCAUCACAUAAGAAAAUUUGGAAACAAAUGUCUACAAAC
This 1154-nucleotide long non-coding RNA is filed under the name Equus caballus (horse). RNAcentral describes it as "lncRNA (ENSECAG00000056850.1)". The record is from RNAcentral. Lineage: Eukaryota; Metazoa; Chordata; Mammalia; Perissodactyla; Equidae.